Molecule: small RNA, 128 nt
Filed under: Yersinia frederiksenii
Lineage: Bacteria; Pseudomonadati; Pseudomonadota; Gammaproteobacteria; Enterobacterales; Yersiniaceae
Also listed under: 1 other name
Description: RtT sRNA
Rfam family: RtT RNA
About the family: This family represents a bacterial cis-regulatory element known as RtT RNA.
Source: RNAcentral
AGGCAGUGCUUAAGGGGAAGGUGAAAAACCUUCGACAAGGUUCGAGCCGAGCGUAGCGAGACAACGACGCAAAGCGGCGACCCGAAGGGUGAGGAGCGGAGUGACGAAUAAUCCUUCCCCCACCACCA